GUCUACAGCCAUGCCACCCUGAAUAAGCCCAAUCCCAUCUGAUCUUGUAAGAUAAGCAAGGUCAGGCCUGGUUAGUACUUGGAUGGAAGACCACCUAGGAAGACCAGGUGCUGUAGGUG
Molecule: ribosomal RNA, 119 nt
Filed under: Pteropus alecto (black flying fox)
Lineage: Eukaryota; Metazoa; Chordata; Mammalia; Chiroptera; Pteropodidae
Also listed under: 1 other name
Source: RNAcentral